CGUAGGGUGCGAGCGUUAAUCGGAGUUACUGGGCGUAAAGCGUGCGCAGGCGGUUUUGUAAGACAGAUGUGAAAUCCCCGGGCGUCAACCUGGGACCGUGCAUUUGUGACUGCAAGGCUAGAGUACGGUAGAGGGGAUGGAAUUCCGCGUGUAGCAGUGAAAUGCGUAGAUAUGCGGAGGAACACCGAUGGCGAAGGCAAUCCCCUGGACCUGUACUGACGCUCAUGCACGAAAGCGUGGGGAGCAAACAGGAUUAGAUACCCUGGUAGUCCACGCCCUAAACGAUGUCAACUGGUUGUUGGGUCUUUACUGACUCAGUAACGAAGCUAACGCGUGAAGUUGACCGCCUGGGGAGUACGGCCGCAAGGUUG
Molecule: ribosomal RNA, 371 nt
Filed under: uncultured organism
Description: bacterial SSU rRNA
Rfam family: Bacterial small subunit ribosomal RNA
Source: RNAcentral